UUGACCUCAAAUCAGGUGGGACUACCCGCUGAACUUAAGCAUAUCAAUAAGCGGAGGAAAAGAAACUAACAAGGAUUCCCUUAGUAACUGCGAGUGAAGUGGGAAGAGCUCAAAUUUGAAAUCUGGCAGUCUCUGGCUGUCCGAGUUGUAAUCUAGAGAAGUGUUGCCCGCGCUGGACCGUGUACAAGUCUCCUGGGAUGGAGCGUCAUAGAGGGUGAGAAUCCCGUCUCUGACAUGGACUACCAGGGCUUUUGUGGUGCGCUCUCAAAGAGUCGAGUUGUUUGGGAAUGCAGCUCAAAAUGGGUGGUAAAUUCCAUCUAAAGCUAAAUAUUGGCGAGAGACCGAUAGUGAACAAGUACCGUGAGGGAAAGAUGAAAAGAACUUUGGAAAGAGAGUUAAACAGUACGUGAAAUUGCUGAAAGGGAAACGCUUGAAGUCAGUCGCGUUGGCCAGGGAUCAGCCUUGCUUCUUAGUGUGGUGUACUUCCUGGUUGACGGGUCAGCAUCGGUU
Molecule: ribosomal RNA, 510 nt
Filed under: Leucocoprinus gongylophorus
Lineage: Eukaryota; Fungi; Basidiomycota; Agaricomycetes; Agaricales; Agaricaceae
Description: eukaryotic LSU rRNA
Rfam family: Eukaryotic large subunit ribosomal RNA
Source: RNAcentral